Long non-coding RNA from Homarus americanus (American lobster), 2498 nucleotides. RefSeq lists it as uncharacterized. The transcript is spliced from 3 exons. The record is from RefSeq and is a predicted model, not a curated record. NCBI's taxonomy places the organism in Eukaryota, Metazoa, Arthropoda, Malacostraca, Decapoda, Nephropidae.
CUCCCUCCUCUACUGGCUGGGGGCUGUAUAUCUGACUCAGUGCUCCGGUGGACGAUGGGUUAAAGACUGCCGUGUCCCCGAGUGGUAAAAUAAACAUCAACUGUGUGAAUAAACUAAUCCAGAAAAUAUAACAUAAACUAGUGUUAAACAGUGAAUAUUUAACCAACUCGGCAAAAUCCAAGAGAACAGAAAUAUAAAUAUGAGCUUCAGAUAACAGAAUAAAUACGUCAGGUUAACAAAUGAACAAAGAUUUAACUGGGGGAUAUACAGUAGCGUCAGUGUGUGUUAGAGCCCAGGGACCUCUCACACAAGCAACACCCUCCUUCAGUAGCAGGGUGUAGGAGGAUGUGAAGAAGCAGUGAUAGUAGUGGGAAUAACAAUCAGGAGGAAGAUUGGUAGUAGAAGCAGGAGGAGGAUAUCAGCAGGAAGGAAGAGGAACAACAAGUAGAAUUAUCGUCUUCCUUCUCUUCCCAAUCCAAAGGAAACACUACAACCACCACACCUUCGUCAGCCACACCGUCACGCCACACCAUCACCGCCACACCACCUCAGCCACUAUGUUGAAGCCCUGCCAUACUGUUGACAGCGGUACACACGGGCAUCAUCACCAUCAGGAGGGGAGGUGUGGCUGUGUGACAGAGGAGGGACAUGGGAAGACGUGGGUCAACCAACAGCAGAGGAGACAACAACAGCAGCGUCAUGAUGGAUUUCCUCAGUAAGACCAUCAUGACGAGUCGUGCCAAGCUCUCCCGGAUCAUCCACGUCAGGCCCUACAACUCCUCUCUCUCCGACGAUGAUGGCGAGAAGGAAAACAUCAACACGACUAAAGCCUUACCUCUCAAAGACACCCCAACUCCUGACGCGACAAAGCCGACGAGGGCCCGCUCCCUGGAACGCCUACCUGGGGAGACGGGCCCUACCGAACUGGGCAUCAUCGGGAGACACAGAUCCUUCGACAGGAAACAUGGCCGCUCCUUAGGCACACCCGAUCUUGCGCCCGUUUUCACCACCACCAAUAACAAUAGUUUCACCAUCACCAAAAAUAACCUCACCGCCAAUGACGACUUUAAGCCACAGAAAUCUCCCAUAAAGCGCCGUGCAAACUGGUGAUAAGGACGAGUGUUUACCCCCCCUCACCCCAGUGCUCACUACCUCACACGGUCAUAACAAACACAUAGAGAAGUAACAGUUAUGGCUGCUACAGUAAACACGUAACACCUUAAAACAAAAUAACAACCAGACAGACAAUCUAGUACAUCUUCUCGGUUCCAGAAGACUGUACUAAGGUUUCAUAAUUAAUCAGACCCACCCAAGAACUAUUUCAGUGUUCAAAGUGAUCCAUACUGAGUGAGACAUGUUUCAGAAACUUCAUAAGAGAAGCUACUGACAUAAUGUGUAGUGAUAGUGUGAGAGAUGAGGUGUGAGGCAGUGAUGCAGAUGUGUAAACAAAUGACAUAUAUAUAUAUCUGUGAUACUUGUCUGUUAUAACUACCAACAAAAACCUAAAAUAUUGUAGUAAAUAUGUGUAAAUAUUCCUUCUAAGUUUAAAUAUUUAUAUAAAAUAUGAAGUUAUAAUGUAGUGUUGUAUGGUGAAAGUUUCCAUAGUGCAGGGAAUGAUGGUAAUGAUAAACACACGUGUUAACACUACAAGCUACUGGGAUAUCACUGCUUAAGCGAUCGUCAGUACAAGCCGAACAAAAUCCCUGAAAGAAUAACUCAAAACACUAAAUUGUUGUAAAUAAAAAUAAAGAAAUAGUAUAAUACAGAAUAAAAGCGACCAACAACUUCACAGCCAGUAGAUAAAAUCAUACCAAUGAAAAUAUUAUUGAAACAUAUACCUACAGCACAGUGCCAUUCAGAUAAACCAGUCUUGUAAAGUCCUUCAUGGGGAGCAUCCAGAUAGGUACAAGGUUUACAUGCUUAAUGAAUUAAUUAAUACACAAAAUACUAAUGAAGGAAUAAUGUUAGUUAGAAGUUAAUGUUCCGGACAAGUUAUUCUAUGUAGCAUCUCGUCUGUUCUGAUGUAGUGUAAUAUUUGUACUUAACACACACACUGACACACGUACACAUAAACAAAGUUGAACUCAAUUACACUAUACACACACACGAAAAAUUAUUAGUUUCCAGUCAAAUUCAAAACAAAAGAUUACCAUUACAAAAAAAACAUCAAUCUUCCAAUCUGAUUAGGUCAACACGCAUCAAUACAGGAGGUAAUGGCUACAAAGUGAUACAUGAAGUACUAUACACCAUACUGUAAUGAACUGUACUGUGAUAACGUAACAAAGGAGAUGUACUAAUGUAUGGACUCCUUGGUAUAGAAUGUACUUAUACUUUAGCAACACCCUGUAGUACUGUAGUUUAUGAACACCAAGUACUUCUCGGUAUAGUGAUAUGGGUGAGGAAUACUGAUUCAUAUGUAUACAAGACUCGGUGUAUUAUCAGCCUAGGACACUAUAUCAUGGUGUAUACUUGACUGAUUAAUAAAAUGGUUAUGUGUA